This 27-nucleotide small RNA is filed under the name Bombyx mori (domestic silkworm). RNAcentral's name for it is "ovarian small RNA-13158". The record is from RNAcentral. Lineage: Eukaryota; Metazoa; Arthropoda; Insecta; Lepidoptera; Bombycidae.
CAGAUGUUAACAAAAUAUCACGGGGUG